This 852-nucleotide ribosomal RNA is filed under the name Tetragenococcus halophilus. RNAcentral's name for it is "bacterial SSU rRNA". It matches the Rfam family "Bacterial small subunit ribosomal RNA", at positions 57 to 894 of the family's 1533-position model. Lineage: Bacteria; Bacillati; Bacillota; Bacilli; Lactobacillales; Enterococcaceae. The record is from RNAcentral.
GCAGUCGAACGCUGCUUAAGAAGAAACUUCGGUUUUUUCUUAAGCGGAGUGGCGGACGGGUGAGUAACACGUGGGGAACCUAUCCAUCAGCGGGGGAUAACACUUGGAAACAGGUGCUAAUACCGCAUACGGCUUUUUUUCACCUGAAAGAAAGCUCAAAGGCGCUUUACAGCGUCACUGAUGGCUGGUCCCGCGGUGCAUUAGCCAGUUGGUGAGGUAACGGCUCACCAAAGCAACGAUGCAUAGCCGACCUGAGAGGGUGAUCGGCCACACUGGGACUGAGACACGGCCCAGACUCCUACGGGAGGCAGCAGUAGGGAAUCUUCGGCAAUGGACGCAAGUCUGACCGAGCAACGCCGCGUGAGUGAAGAAGGUUUUCGGAUCGUAAAGCUCUGUUGUCAGCAAAGAACAGGAGAAAGAGGCAAUGCUUUUUCUAUGACGGUAGCUGACCAGAAAGCCACGGCUAACUACGUGCCAGCAGCCGCGGUAAUACGUAGGUGGCAAGCGUUGUCCGGAUUUAUUGGGCGUAAAGCGAGCGCAGGCGGUGAUUUAAGUCUGAUGUGAAAGCCCCCAGCUCAACUGGGGAGGGUCAUUGGAAACUGGAUCACUUGAGUGCAGAAGAGGAGAGUGGAAUUCCAUGUGUAGCGGUGAAAUGCGUAGAUAUAUGGAGGAACACCAGUGGCGAAGCGGCUCUCUGGUCUGUAACUGACGCUGAGGCUCGAAAGCGUGGGUAGCAAACAGGAUUAGAUACCCUGGUAGUCCACGCCGUAAACGAUGAGUGCUAAGUGUUGGAGGGUUUCCGCCCUUCAGCUGCAGUACGCAUUAGCCUCCCCUGGGGGUACGACCGCAGGU